CAGUCGCCGCGGUAAUCCGUAGGUCCCGAGCGUUGUCCGGAUUUAUUGGGCGUAAAGCGAGCGCAGGCGGUUAGAUAAGUCUGAAGUUAAAGGCUGUGGCUUAACCAUAGUACGCUUUGGAAACUGUUUAACUUGAGUGCAAGAGGGGAGAGUGGAAUUCCAUGUGUAGCGGUGAAAUGCGUAGAUAUAUGGAGGAACACCGGUGGCGAAAGCGGCUCUCUGGCUUGUAACUGACGCUGAGGCUCGAAAGCGUGGGGAGCAAACAGGAUUAGAUACCCCUGUAGUCCCUGUCUCUUAUACC
Molecule: ribosomal RNA, 301 nt
Filed under: uncultured bacterium
Lineage: Bacteria
Description: partial 16S ribosomal RNA
Rfam family: Bacterial small subunit ribosomal RNA
Source: RNAcentral